UACGUAGGGACCAAGCGUUGUUCGGCUUUACUGGGCGUAAAGGGCGCGUAGGCGGCAAUUCAAGUCAGCUGUGAAAUCUCCGGGCUUAACCCGGAACGGCCAGCUGAUACUGCUUUGCUAGAGUGCGGAAGGGGCAAUCGGAAUUCUUGGUGUAGCGGUGAAAUGCGUAGAUAUCAAGAGGAACACCUGAGCUGAAGACGGGUUGCUGGGCCGUCACUGACGCUGAGGCGCGAAAGCCAGGGGAGCAAACGGG
Molecule: ribosomal RNA, 253 nt
Filed under: uncultured bacterium
Lineage: Bacteria
Description: partial 16S ribosomal RNA
Rfam family: Bacterial small subunit ribosomal RNA
Source: RNAcentral